UCUUCCUCCUGCCUCACCUCUCUCUCCCCCUCGACCCGCUCCCGCCUCCCUGCCCUGCCGCCAUCCAGAUCGCUUCCGCUCGCCCUCUCCUCCUCCCUGCCCUCUCGGUGCUCAGCGGGACGAGCGCAUCUCCGGCGUUGUGCGCUGUGGUUCUGGUCCGGUCGCAGGUCGCCUCCAUGGAAAAGCACGUGCUGAAUGGUACUCCCCCUCUCCCCUCUGUGCCCUCUCUCUUCCCCGACCUCUUUCUCUUCCCGCGUUCUCGAUCUGGCGCCACCACACAUCCUGGUUCUGGAUCGGGCUGAGAGAGCAUGGCUGGUGUGGUCUUCAUGCUUGGUGAGGAGGAGCAGGGGAGGGUGAGUAGGACGGGCAUGGGGAAGGAGCAGCCAGGCCGGAGCUCCGGCGUCGCUCGCGUCAUGGUGGAAUGGAGCCGACCAUCACUAUGGGCUGCAGCUCGCCGGUCGUCGUUCCCCAAUCUUCCUCCCCUGUUUUUUUCUACCUCUUGCCCCCUGGUUCUUUAAUCUAAUUUGGAUUUCUUGUUUUAUGUUUUUACUAAACAGGGCAAGUAUAGAAGGGAGCUCCAGUAAGGCCAACGUUUAGGACCAGUCCAUGUCCGAGACGACGUUUGGGCGGGUGUCCAAUUUCAUCGGAUCUUUUGCAAUGUUUCCUCAGAAGGAUGAGCCUAGAGGUACCAGAAUAUUACUAUUCAAUCUCUUCUCAUUUUUCUGCAAGAGUAGAUACAAUGUACUGUGUUUGAUAUGCUAACUCGUUUUGAGGGAGACAGAAAAUCUGUGUUGGUUCCUGGGAAUCACAUUGUUCAAGAUAAAACCAGCCAAGUAGUUUUCUUUGAUGUUCUUUGCAUUAGAUUAAUAAAUCUUGUUUCUAGCAAUGCUAUAUUCUAUUACAAUCUUUUAGAGUUGUAGUAGCCGGAGAUUAAUUUUCAAGUUUGAACUCCUAUCCUGUUAUUUAUGUUUGAGCAUGUUCUUCUUAUUUCUGUACCAGUACUCUAAUUUAACUCUCUAGGAGCUCCCAAGAAAAAGAAGGCUUGUUGCGUCCUAAUAAAGGAUCUCCUUGCUUGCGUGUGCUUGUGCUGGUGGUUUGCUUCCUGCCUACUACUUUGGGACAGAUAUAUAUGCAUGUUAAUUCGUCUCUGAUGUUUGUAGGGUGUGCCCAGUUUUCUUAGCUUCUUACUAAUUCUUGAUUCUAGGGUCCAGUAGACUAGGUGAUCAUUGUUUAUAUAUGCCCAAACCAAUGCAUGUUGUUGUAAUAUAUGUGCUUCAGAAUCUGGCAGAGCACCUCUUGUUGUUUACAUAUGCAAAUAGUAAUUCUUGGUACUCGCCCAUAUGAGGUAUAGUUUUGAGAAUCCUGAACUGAAGGUGAACAUUGCUGAUGUGAAAUGGCGGCGUCACAAGCCAGAAGGUCACCAUGGAGACCAUAAACAGACCAGCACCCAGCGCUCAGUAGUAGCAAUCCAACAUAAAUGCACAGAACAAGCACGAGGGGACACACGCAGCAGCAAGCACGGGGAACAGAGGUGGAUAGCCAUUUCGAGAUGGUUGUUUUUUGUACCCGUGGCGCGAGGAGCGCCGGUCAGCCCGGUGGACCUUUGACGUAAGCACAACGCUGAAUCAGACACAAGCAUGGUCGUUGGGGUGCGUGCUGGAUCGGCACCCCGCGGCUGUAUACAAGCAAUCGGCGUGCUGUCCUCGUUUGGCCUAUCUAUUAGCAUUAUAUCUCCUUCAUCAAUUAUUGUUCUCAUAUUUCCUUUUAUGAAGGCUAGGAACUAGGCUGAAAUACACAUAUGUCUUAAUUGUUGCUUUUCUUAGUGCAGAUAUGGAAGAUCUAAAAGCCUCUGUGAAAGAUUUUUGUUCUGUAGAAGCCAAUGAUCUGGUACACUGUGGGACCUUAACUUCUGGAGUGAACGACUGUCGGAAUCAAAAUACAAUAUUGAUGAGGUUCUUUCUUUACAGAAGUAGAUUACAAUAUUGAUGAAAUUAGCUCCUGGCCAUUGCAUCAUUGCAUACUUAUUGGAAUUUGAUUUGCUCAUUAAUUGUAGGUUUAAACUUUUUUAGCUCUGAUGUAUGGGAAAAUUAUAUGCAUUCCUCAUCUAUCAUAGAUAAAUUGAUAUAUUGCUCUCCUAAAAUGCAUUGUUGGCCUAAGAUGUUAUUAUAUACGUGACAUGUUAUUGGCUAAAUAUGAUUCAUACUUUACAAACUCCUUACAACUAGAGUAGGAUCCAAGAACAGAUGGUGAAAAAUAAACUGAACACUUGCUUUGAUUUGUUCAAAUUUUACAGAAACGGUUAUAACACACUUUUCUUUGCAAGCUGGAUACGAAGAGAAAUAUGUUAAAUAGACGGAAGAAAAAAAAUAUUAGGUAAGCGUUAGCAAGUCUGUGCUGGAUGCAGUGCACGGCCACGCCAAAUCCACACUGCUUGAGGAGGUGGCUCUGCAACUUGGAGUCCGUCAUGACGAGCUCUUCAUCACAAUUAGCUCGAGAUGAUGCAAGCGUUCCUCUCAUGUCCGUCCAGGACGAGAGAUAUAAUGCACUGAUGUAGUUUUGUAACCAACCAUGUCUUUACACAGGCUUGCUAACCUACAUGUCUGCUAUCAUGUAGUUUACUAUUUUUAGGUAAACUUUCAGAGAAAACACAUAGUCUAAUUUUAAGGUGAUUAUGUCUGAUUGGUCUAAGUAGAUGGUGAAAGCACAUAUAAUUAUACAUCAUGGAUUGCAUAUGGACUAGAAUUUUGCUUGAGCUUUUGCUGGUGAUUUGUAACAAAAUACUCGAUAGUGAUUUGGCAAAUAUAGGAUUAAGCAUUAGACACUUAAUACCUGCCCUUAAUAUCAAGGAAACGAGAUACUGUUGUGGCAUUUAUUUACCCUACAACUCUGUUAUUCAGCAAUGGUAGUACGAGUCUUGGUACUGUUAUUACCUCUGUAAUGGAUAUAAUUAUUCCUGAAUACACACGACAUCCACUUUUCUUGUUAAUAACUCAUAAUUGUGGACUACUAUUUUUCAGUACUACCGUCAGGUACCUGUGUUCUCUACCUUGUUAUCCAGUAUGUAUGUGUAUGCACUUUUGAAUGAUUAGUGAGCUAGACCAAGAAGUGAGCUACAAUUUCAGUGUUACUUUUUCUUGGAGUACUGAGACGAACACAUACAUUUCAAGCUAUCUUCUUAAAACCUUACUAUGCCAAAUCCACACUGGCCGAGUAAAGCGCCGCACAAUGAUAAUUUGAGAGGAGACUAAUGACAUGGUAUAAAUUUCUCUUGUAUAGUUGGUCAUUAUAUAGUUAGCACUGCCUCAAUCAGUGCAGCUUAAUAAGGUCCUUGAUUGAGCACGCAUUUGAUUUAUGCCGCCAUAGAUCUCAUUGGUGAGUGUAGCUAUGGGAGUCUAAUGCCAUCUUUAUAAAGACAUAAAUCAUUAACCUGUCACUACAUAUAUGUAUAAUACUUCCUUCGUCCGGAAAUACUUGUCGGAGAAAUGGAUGAACCUAGACGUAUUUUAGUUAUAGAUACAUCUAGUUUUUUAUCCAUUUCUCCGACAAUUAUUUCGGAAUGGAGGGAGUAGUAACUUGAUUCAAAAAUUCAGUUUUGUCAAGUGUGAGUUGAUUUUCAUGAUACCAAUGCAUUAGAAUUCUGUGUUGCAAACUCGCACUUAGAUGCUUAUUAAGUUUGUGUUUUUAUAUCAUCUUUGUUUUCGAAAUGUAAUUUGAUUAUGUGAGGCAGAAGCUUCCUGUCGUUACUUGUACACACAAUAAGUAAUGGGGAAUUGUAUGUUUGUGCGCCUCCUGUAUUUGAUUACAGAUGCAAAUAAGGCUCCUGGAGCAGCUAAGGAAAUAAAGAGCUAUAUUGGUUGUUCAGCUUCAGAUCUUGUGUUGGUAGAAAUUGUUAUUAUCAUUUUUGACUAUUAUUACUUAACAUUAAUUUGUAUUUAGAAGAAUUAGUAAUAACUUACAUUACUGGAUUAUAAAUUGUUCAUCAGGGUUUCUUUUCAUUAUUUUCUUUCUUGGAUCCAGCGUUUUUUGGCAGGCUAGCUUUGUACUAUUUCAGUUCCAUGAUUAUUAAUUUAUCAGGCCUGAUUUGUCAUGUUUUAAUUUGAGAUUUGUAGCCAGUAGCCACACUGAAGCUUACUUGGUAGCUUUUUGACAGUACCUUUUUGUCAUGUUUUAGUUAAGUGAUGUUCCUGGGGCCUUGAUCAUAUAUAUAUGAGCAAGGCACCAGUACCUUUUUGUCAUGUUAAUUUUUCAAGAUCCAUUGUAAUCUUUUCAGAAUUUCAUACUUCACCAUUGUUGGAUUAUAGCUCCAAAGUGAUAUGAUAUUGACGCAUUUGAUCACCACUUCAAUUGAGCAGGACAAAGUGAUCAUGAGUGAUCAAUCUGGACUUCUUAACACAUUUGAGUUGAAAUGAUAGUUCAUUUUAAAGUGCCUUGUUUGGUUGUCUAAGUUUUAGUGCUCACUAUGAAGUUCUUACUGAAAAGUGUUAUGGUUCCUUAGUACCUUCCAUAAUUUUGUAAUCUUGUGUUUAUAUAGCAGGAAUUGUUGUUUUAUGCCUAAUAUCAUGAAAUUUACCUAAAUAAUGAGUCUCGCAUUGCUACUGUUAAAUGUCAUAUGAUGCAUGUGUCACUGAAAGGUUGGAGUAUGUGUGUAGGGUCCUUAUUCAUAGAUGAUCUUGAGCCGUUGGAGCUAUAGGCUGUAACAUCACGACCGCUUGCAGCCAAUAAAGAGUUGGUCCAGGCAUGCUUUCAGGAAAUAUUGCUCCUUUGUAUCCUUUUCGGUUCUCAUUCCCUUUGCUUGACCCAAUUGAACUUUUUGUAGGAAGUGGUUUGUGCUCCUAAGUAAUGUUGGAGAAGAUUCUGUAUUUGUAGUGAUCACAAGAUGACAACAUCAUCGACCUAAAUCUAGCACCCUCAAUGGAAAUCACAUAGCAGCAAAAGAACUUUACCGUUUAAUAUAUGCCAACUUCACAGGAGGAUCAACAUCCAAAGAUAACAAUCUUAAUCAUGUCUUGUCACAGGUAAGAUAUGUUGUUGUUGAUCGUCUGAAUGAUGCAACUACACAGUCAGAGUAUGAUCUCCAACAGACAAACAGAUAUUAUUGGGGCCUGGACGAUGAUAUUGAAGGAAUCACUGCUUUAGGUAAUGAUGGACCGCCAAUGGAUAUUUAGGGCAUACGUAUCAACGGCUCUGCCUGACGAUCAUCGGCUCAUAACUACAACCAUCUAUAUGGUGCGCCAAUACUAUGUAUCAGCACGAGGUUCUCUUAAAACACUAUGUAUCAAAACUAAGUUUCUAUUUGCUUACACUCAUUGUAAAUUUCUUAGAACAGUAUGUAUCAGCACUACGAGAUCAAUAUAUGCUACCAUCAAGCAAUAUCAUUGCUUCCUCUUUGUC
Triticum dicoccoides is the source of this 5391-nucleotide long non-coding RNA. RefSeq lists it as uncharacterized. The record is from RefSeq and is a predicted model, not a curated record. The transcript is spliced from 2 exons. NCBI's taxonomy places the organism in Eukaryota, Viridiplantae, Streptophyta, Magnoliopsida, Poales, Poaceae.